Molecule: long non-coding RNA, 650 nt
Organism: Cyprinus carpio carpio
Lineage: Eukaryota; Metazoa; Chordata; Actinopteri; Cypriniformes; Cyprinidae
Source: Ensembl
GGAGGAGUUCGUUAAAAUACAAGGCAUGCAAAUGACAAAAAUGAUGCAAAAUUUGCUCAUAAAAUUAAAAAUAACCGACUUCCUGUUGGGUUUCGGAUAUUGCUCCAAGAGUCUUUUUUGUAGGUACUGAUGCUUUACAUAUGUGUGCCAAUUUUCGUGCAUGUACGUGAAACACAGCUCGAGGGCUGUUGAUUUUUUUACGAUAGGUGGCGCUGUCGAGCCAUUUUGCCACACCCUCUUCUGAAACCUAUAUCAGACGAAAAUUUUCACCAGGUCUGACGCGUGUGCAAAGUUUCAGGACUUUUCGAGCAUGUUUAGGCCCUCAAAAAUGCGAUUCAUUUUGGAGAAGAAGAAGAAGAAGAAGAAGAAGAAUAAUAAUAAUAAUAAACAAAGCAGAUACAAUAGGGUCCUCACACCAUCGGUGCUCGGGCCCUAAUUAAAGCUGCAAGCAGCGAUGAACGGGCCCUCGCACCCGGGCUCACCACCACCGGGUGGCUUUUGUAAAACAGCGAACGGCCAGAUAUAUGCAUUUAAUGUGGUAAAUAUAAUAGGAAUAUGUCAAAGUCAUAUAUAUGUGCCAGUCUUCCUGCUGCCAGCUGGUGGCGCUAUGACUAUAACUGGAUUUUGUCAUGAAGAUUUCUUCAGUCCAG